Molecule: ribosomal RNA, 325 nt
Filed under: uncultured bacterium
Lineage: Bacteria
Description: bacterial SSU rRNA
Rfam family: Bacterial small subunit ribosomal RNA
Source: RNAcentral
GACGAACGCUGGCGGCGUGCUUAACACAUGCAAGUCGAGCGGGGACAUGAAGCGGAAGGCUUCGGCUGGAAGGUUUAUGUUCUAGCGGCGGACGGGUGAGUAACGCGUGAACAAUCUGUCCCAUACAGGGGGAUAACACUUGGAAACAGGUGCUAAUACCGCAUAAGACCACGAGAUCACAUGAUCCUGGGGUCAAAGGAGCAAUCCGGUAUGGGGUGAGUUCGCGUCCGAUUAGCUAGUUGGCGAGGUAACGGCCCACCAAGGCGACGAUCGGUAGCCGACCUGAGAGGGUGAUCGGCCACAUUGGAACUGAGAAACGGUCCAG